RNAcentral lists this long non-coding RNA (341 nucleotides) under Setaria viridis. RNAcentral's name for it is "long non-coding RNA (SVIR_LNC003397)". Lineage: Eukaryota; Viridiplantae; Streptophyta; Magnoliopsida; Poales; Poaceae. The record is from RNAcentral.
GGGUAUAUUAGUAAAUGUAGAAUAUAAAAGUGUAUCAAAAUACAAAUCAUGCAUGUAGGUAAUGAUAUAGUGAUUUAAUGACAAGACCUAGAAAUGUAAGACUACAUAUGAGAGGUUGGUCGAGUAACUUUUUAUAAAAAAAUGUGGAACAUGCUAUACCAAAAUUGUUGAAUUAAGAUUUAAAAUUGUUAAUCUCAAUAAUAUGAAUUCUGGGGUGUAUAAAAAUAUAGGACCACCGUAAUAGAUGGCUCUCAUUUUUCCUAAUUAUUGAAUAAAAAUCCUAAAAAUACAAAUUAGACAAUCAAGAUAAUGAUUUAAUUACAAUGUCCAGAAAAAAAAAA